CACUGAGCAAGGGCAGGGAUCGAACCCGAAACCUCAUGGUUCCUAGUCGGAUUUGUUAACCACUGCGCCACAAUGGGAACUCCUAAAAUAUUUUUUAAAAGGAAGAAAAACAAAUCCCUUUCCUUAAGGAUCGUUCAAACCAAGUUGGGGACCCAGUAUACUCAUGGCAAAAUAAGUAGCAAGGUAAGAAGCAAAUGCUACCCACCAGCUGAAGGUAGAGAGCAAAGAGAAGUUCAAAGGAAGGAAGGGGUAAGUUUUAGCUGGAAUCUGUUGAGAUGCUUCCUGCCAACAUCCAAGAUUUGAAUUGUCAACACAAGCCCAGCUCAAACCUGAAAAUGCACAAAGGAGCAUCAGGGUCAACGGCUGGCAGAGAUGCAGUUGUGGCCAAACUAAAAUACUGCAGGGCAGAUGUAUCUGUGUGGGCCAGGGCAAAGCAUUCACACUUAGAUAUUGUGAGUGGAAACGAAAUGCAGUCCAGUUUGGGCAAGCCUGGAACGUCGGUCUAAGAAGAUCAAAGUCAUCCUAUGAUCGCUGGGGAAGCACUGAACUUUGCUCAACUCUGGAGCAAAAUACACAAAGUAGUGGACUUGGAAGAUGAAGAAGCAGAGAAAUGUGAAGGGAGGGGUACAAAGAGAAGUAAUGGAACAGAGACCAGAGUUUUCACCUACGCAGUGGACUAAGUCAGUGAGCUAUCUUCUACUCAGGUUUGAUACACUGGGAUUGAAAUGCGUGUGCCUCACACAGUAUAUAAAACACAUGCUUCCUGUACUGAUGAAUGGGAAAAAGAAUGACAGUGAUCAUGCAAGGCUUUUUGGGAUCACACAAAACCGGGGGAAGUAGGCUAUGGCAGGACCUUGGCCAGGAAGAGGGCAAGCCUUUAGCAAGGUCAAAUCUGUGGUCACUAAAAGGAAGGGCUCCAUGGCCAAGAGAAGGAUUAUAAAUUAAGAGAAACCAUAAAAAAAGACAACCCACAGAAUGUGAGAAAAUAUUUGCAAACGAAGCAACCAACAUGGAAUUAAACUCCAAAAAUAUAUAAACCUCUUAAGCAGCUCUAUAUACAAAAAAAAAAAAAUUAAAAAAACAGCAACCCAAUCAAAAAAUGGGCAGAAAAUCCAAUAGACAUUUCUCCAAAGACAACAGAUGGCCAAGAAGCACAUGAAAAGAUGCUUGACAUCACUAAUUAUUACAGAAAUACAAUCAAAACUACAAUGAGAUUUCGCCUCACGCUGGUCAGAAUGACCAUCAUCAAUAAGUCUACAAACAAUAAGUGCUGGAGAGGAUACAGAGAAGAAGGAACUCUUGUACACUGUUGGUCAAAUUUUCAAACUGGUACAACUAUCAGAGAGAACAAUAUGGGGGUUCCUUAAAAAACUAAAUAUGGGAUUUUUAUAUCUACGUUCAUCAAUGAUAUUGGCCUGUAAUUUUCUCUUUUUGUGGUAUCCUUGUCUGGUUUUGGUACCAGGGUGAUGGUGGCCUUACAGAAUAAGCCUGGGAAUGGGCAGAAGACCUAUACAGACGUUUCUCCAAAGAAGACAUACAGAUGACCAACAAGCACAUGAAAAAAUGCUCAACAUCACUAGUUAUUAGAGACAUGCAAGUCAAACAUACAAUGCGGCAUACCUCACACUGGUAAGAAUGACCGUCAUUAACAAGUCAACAAAAAACAAAGGCUGAAGAGGGUGUGGAGGCAAGGGAACCCUCUUUCACUGGUAGGAAUGUAAAUUGGUACAACCACUAUGGAGGACAGUAUGGAAGUUCCUCAGAAAACUAAAUAUAGAACUGCCAUGGAUCCAGCAAUCUCACUCCUGGGCAUAUGUCCAGACAAAAUUUUCAUUUAAAAAGAUACACACACCUCUAUGUUCAUUGCAGCACUAUUCACAAGAGCCAAGACAUGGAAACCAACAAAUGAAUGGAUUAAGAUGUGGCACAUACAUACAAUGGAGUACUACUCAGCCAUAAAACUAACAAAGUAAUGCCAUUUGCAGCAAUAUGAAUGCAACCAGAGAUUCUCAUACAGAAAAAGAAAGACAAACACCAUAUUGUAUCACUUACACAUGGAAUCUAAAAUAUAGCACAAAUGAUCCUAUCUACAAAACAGAAACAGAUCACGGACAGAGAGAGCAGACUUGUGGUUGCCAGGGAGAGGGGGAAGCAAGUGGGAUGGACUGGGAGUUUUGGGUUGGUAGAUGCAAACUACUACAUUUAGAAUGAAUAAGCAAUGAGGUCCUACUGCACAGCACAGGGAACUAUAUCCAGUCCCUUGGGAAAGAACAUGAUAGAGGAUGGUAUGAGAAAAAGAAUGUGUGUGUGUGUGUGCGUGUGUGUGUGUGUGUGUGUGUAUAACUGGGUCACUAUGCUGUACAGCAGAAAUUGAUACAACACUAUAAAUCAAAUAUAUUUUAAUAAAAAACACCACUGGGGGAAAAAAAAAACUAAAUAUGAUCCAGUAAUCACACUCCUGGGCAUAUAUGCUUAGAAAACUGUAAUUUGAAAAGAUACAUAUAUCCCAAUGUUCCUGCAGCACUAUUUACAGUAAACAAGUCAUGGAAGCAUCUGAAAUAUCCAUCAACAGAGGAAUGGAUUAAGAAGAUGUGGUACAAUGAAAUAUUACUCAGCCAUAAAAAGAAUGAAAUGCUAACAUCUACAGCAACAUGGAUGGACCUAGAAAUUAUCACACUAAGUAAGCCAGAGAAAGACGAAUAUAUCACUUAUAUGUGAAAUCUAAUAAAAAUGAUAUAAAAGGACUUAUUAAUAACACUAAACAGAUUCACAGAUUUUUGAAAUCAAAGUUAUGGUUACCAAACAGGAAAGAAAGGGAGAGAUAAAUUAUGCAGGGAACUCUACCCAAUAUUCUAUAAUAACCUUCAGGAGAAAAGAAAUUGAAAAAGAAUGGAUAUGUCUAUAUGCAUAACAGAUUCACUAUGCUGUGCACCUAAAACUAACACAAUGUUAUAAGUCACCUAGUUCAAUGAAAUUAUUCAAAAAGAAAUAAAUUUUAUAAAUAUAAACAAAUUAAUUAACAAACAAGGAUCAAGGCCUUGAUAAUGGACAAGGCAGGUUGGUUCAGGAGCAAGGUUGAAGGAAAUUCAGUGUGAUGGCCGUAAGAAAAUAAUCCAACAAAAAGAAACGCUUAAUUUCAUGGAGUUCCUCCAGUCUUUGUAAUUAGUGCCUGAGGGUGAUUCUUCUAAGUAUAACGCACAAAAGCCUGGUUGUUUCUCACCCCCUAUGUGGGUCUAUCUUCAUCUUUAGAAGACUCUUCUCCAUCCUCUUCCUGCUGCGGCUGCUUUAUAUCCUGAAAGCCUUAAGGGCUGUUUGUGAGAAGGCUUAGUUCUGACUCAUAAGCCCUAAAAAGAUAUCUAAGGCUCCCUCCCCUCCUUCACUCUAGGCUGAAACAACAAGUCAGACAGAUACAGCCUUUGCUUUUAUAGAGCUCAUAUGCUAAAGCCAAGUGGGAAACAGAACAGAUAGCAAAAGCCAGACAAAUAAAUGCAAGAUAUUGUCAAGAGAUAGAAAGAACUGGAGUUCCCAUCAUGGCACAGCGGAAAUGAAUCCGACUAGGAACCAUGAGGUUGUGAGUUCGAUCCCUGGCCUCUUUCAGUGGGUUAAGGAUCCGGCAUUGCCGUGAGCUAUGGUGUAGGUUGCAGAUGCAGCUCGACUCUGGCAUUGCUGUGGCUGUGGUGUAGGCCAGAGGCUACAGCUCCAAUUAGACCCCUAGCUUGGGAACCUCCAUAUGCCACGGGAGCAGCCCUAGAAAAGGCAAAAAAGAUUAAAAAAAAAAAAAAAAAAGAGUUUGUUCUAGGACUGGCAAGAAAGAAAUCACUGUUGAAAGUGAAAGAAACCAGGGGGGGGUGGGACACAAAGUAAGCACCCAUUACCUGCCAGGCACUAAGCUGGGCACUUGAUUUUUCAUCAUCUCCUAAAUCAGCCUAACAAUUCGAGUUGUUACUUUUCCCACUUGGUGGAUGAAAAAAUAGGUUCAUAAAAGUAAUCUGCCCAAGGAAAAGAGAUUUAAAAAGUCACAUCUGGUACCCAGAGUCCAGGGAAAUUGUUGACUUAAUUUGGUAAAAAGCCAGCGAACAAGAUGACAGGCCUUCAGGUGUGUGGAAAGACCUGCGCCAGGAGGACAGGAGUGGAAGGCAGGCGCACACCUGAGGGCCACCGUACAGCAGCCGUGAUCAGGACUUGGUGGAGUGGCCUUGGCAAGGGUGGUGGGGAGGGGAGGUGAGAAGCCUAUAAGCCUCAGAGAGAGACCACCACAACUGCUGCUAAGGGUUCAAGAGAGGACCUCAAAGGAGGCCUGGGUUUUAGCCAACGACAAUGAACGUGCUUCUAGAUGUGUGGAGCUGGUGGGGGUGGCUGGGAGUAAGCCAGGAACAGCUGGGUAAAGAAAUCCUGACAGGUAAGUGGAAAUAACCACCCCAAAUUCCAAAGAAAGGCUGAGCCUAAAGAUGUGGCUCUGGAAUCACUCAGCCGUAUGGGAGUUGGGAGGCAUGUCUAUGGUUUUCUACGUGGGAGAGUAGUGUCUAUAUUGGCUACAGGAGCUGCCUGACAACUCGCCAACCUUCGGGAAACAUGCAGGAAUUUUCUCUGCCACCCACCAACAUGAUUCGCCCCAGAAACACACACACACACAGAAUUGAGUUAAAGUUAACGGCCCUACUACACAAACUCAAAGCAAAAUGACAUGUUAUUUAGAUUCAAAUGUGCUGAACAAAAAUGCUGCAAAUCAUGUGGGCUUUGCCUUUUUAAUAUUAUUCAAUUGAUGUCACUGAAACAGAGGAAUUAGUCUUGUAAUUACUCCCUUAUGAGUUCUGCUGUCUGUCUGAAAAAAAAAGAAGAGUACUCAUUUCUCUUCCCAAACCAAUUUGUUGGGGGGAAAUUAGAUGGGUUAAAGAUAGCAAAACCCCAGCUUCAACAAGCUCGGGGGCGAGGAAGAAAAGGUGGGUCAAUAAUGAAUAACGCCCUGCCACCCCAUCUGCGGGGUGUGCCUAUUGGAUGGAGUCGCCUGGCUGAGCCAGCAUGAGGACAGAGGACAAAGCCUGUCUCCCAGGCUUCAGCCCACUGCCUUGAGGCUUAGCCCUCCAGUACUUCAUUACCAUGCUAAUGCGUGCCCGUCACUUUGCGCAAGUACCACCUACUGUAUCUUUUAAAAGCCUCUAUCAACCACAGCUAGGAUGCAUGGGACAGAACUGCUGAAAAUGACCCAAAUGCUAACUCGCACCCUUAUAAGUAAGAACCAAGGAGUUCUCAUCGUGGCUUGGUGGCUGACAAAUCCAACUAAGGACGAUGAGGUUGUGGGUUCGAUCCCUGGCCUCGCUCAGUGAAUUAAGGAUCCGGCGUUGCCGUGAGCUGUGGUGUAGGUCACAGACACAGCUCAGAUCCC
This 5383-nucleotide long non-coding RNA is filed under the name Sus scrofa (pig). RNAcentral describes it as "lncRNA (ENSSSCG00035036358.1)". The record is from RNAcentral. Lineage: Eukaryota; Metazoa; Chordata; Mammalia; Artiodactyla; Suidae.